This 254-nucleotide ribosomal RNA is filed under the name uncultured bacterium. RNAcentral's name for it is "partial 16S ribosomal RNA". It matches the Rfam family "Bacterial small subunit ribosomal RNA", at positions 524 to 776 of the family's 1533-position model. The record is from RNAcentral.
UACGAAGGGGGCUAGCGUUGUUCGGAAUUACUGGGCGUAAAGCGCGCGUAGGCGGUUUUGCAAGCCAGAGGUGAAAUGCCUGAGCUCAACUCAGGAAUGGCCUUUGGGACUGCGAGGCUUUGAGGACUGGAGAGGUGAGUGGAAUUCCCAGUGUAGAGGUGAAAUUCGUAGAUAUUCGCAAGAACACCAGUGGCGAAGGCGGCUCACUGGCCCGAUACUGACGCUGAGGUGCGAAAGCGUGGGGAGCAAACGGG